AUACGUAGGUGGCAAGCGUUGUCCGGACUUAUUGGGCGUAAAGCGAGCGCAGGCGGUUCUUUAAGUCUGAUGUGAAAGCCCCCGGCUCAACCGGGGAGGGUAAUUGGAAACUGGGAGACUUGAGUGGAGAAGAGGAGAGGGGAAUUCCAUGUGUAGCGGUGGAAUGAGUAGAUAUAUGGAGGAACACCAGUGGCGAAGGCGACUCUCUGGUCUGUAACUGACGCUGAGGCUCGAAAGCGUGGGGAGCAAACAGGAUUAGAUACCCUGGUAGUCCACGCCGUAAACGAUGAGUGCUAAGUGUUGGAGGGUUUCCGCCCUUCAGUGCUGCAGCUAACGCAUUAAGCACUCCGCCUGGGGAGUACGACCGCAAGGUUGAAACUCAAAUGAAUUGACGGGG
RNAcentral lists this ribosomal RNA (397 nucleotides) under uncultured bacterium. RNAcentral's name for it is "partial 16S ribosomal RNA". It matches the Rfam family "Bacterial small subunit ribosomal RNA", at positions 523 to 918 of the family's 1533-position model. The record is from RNAcentral.